GAAUAAGCAAAAUAGAUGCCAAGUAGAGCAGAAAGUAUUGCUUUUCCCAUUCUCUAAUGGCCUAGUGACUGCCUGGGAGGGACUAACAAGCUUUUUGGAAUUGACAACUUUCUCCUGGCCCAGGACACAUCAGGCUUGAUGCCAUUCCUGCCACUUGAAGAUAAUGAACCAUCAUCCUCUGUCAGAAAUAAAAACUUAUUUAAUGAAUGGUAAAGCUAGGAAUCAUAAGCAAGAAAAGUGCUUAGUAGCAUUUCAUACUAUUAAAACCCCACCCAACUUGAUUCCGUUUUGUUCUUUUGUUAUGUAAUUGCUCUUUCUCUAGGGUUCUUUCCUAGUGCUUAAUUCAUGGAAACUUUCCAUCAUGUUCUUCCUCAUUUUGUUUAAAUUCUUUUAAAUUCAAUUUCCCCAACAUUUGUAAAAUCCACCAAAACAUACAUAUGCAUAGUAGAGUGUUCUAAACAUUGGACUAAGGCACAUUUUGGUCUUCCUUCUCUGAGUUGUCUAUCCAAUGAUCUUAAAACUACUUUGAAAAUAGUAUUUUAAAAUUGUUUUACACAGAAAUUCCAUUAAACUUAAAAAAAAAAAGCAUUAUUGCUCCAAUAUUGAGAUAUUACUGUGAAACCCUUCACUAUCUAAUGGUAUCUUUAAUUUUUUGUGGAAAAAUUUCCACCAUGUUGCCCUUAAGUAAUACCUCUAUCCUAUAUUUUGAUCGGCAAAGUUCUCUUUUCAGGUUUCAUUAAAUAAGCACUGACACACUUUGCCAGGGCCUACUCACUUCGAUUUUGGACAAAACUAUAAUCUAAGGGGGAAAGGGCCGGGGGUUGGGGGGAUACAUAUAUAAGGAAACAAAGAGUAAGAAGUAGAUACAUAACAGCUUAAAAUUUUGAAUUACUUUCAGUACUAUUUUAUGUACUAAUUUUUUUGAAUGAUCUAAAAAGUUUCAUUGGGGCCAUUUAUAAACCUGCAGAUGAGCAGUGUACUGGAGUACUCCUGGAAUACCUACCAACAGAACUGACAUCUAAUCUAAUCACUUCAUCCUAGGAAGACUCUUGAGGGCUUGCUUUAUCUAUCUGAGGUUACAUGCAAACUUUCAAGCCUGGUGGUAAAGGAUUAACUCACAGCCCUAAUGUGGACUGACUUCUUUCUGUACUUCAAUUUUAUGCUCUAUACAAUGGAGAUUAUAAUUGUACCUAUGUCAUAAGGUUGUUGUGAAAUGAGUUAAUAAACUUAUACCACUUAGAAAGGACUUGGGACAUGAUGAGCAUAUUAUAAGCAUCUGUUAUUAUCUGAUAAUCAUUAUAUUACUUCUUAUCCCAGGCAAUUUUUAUGUGGCAUAAAUUGUUACGUCUAUUUUCAUGAUGAUCUGCAGUUUUCAGAGCACUUUUAAUAUGUCUAUCACCAUAUUCAAUAUGUUCAUAUCCAUCAUAAAGAAAAUACUGUGUUAAUGUAUGCAUUGAAAAAAACAACUGUCUCAGCCAUUUUAAAGAGUCACCUAUGAAAAUCCAUGCACUAUAAAAUGUAAAUAAAUGACAGUUUAAAAUAUAUUGCAGGAGUUCCUGUUGUGACACAGUGGUUAACGAAUCCACCAGGAACCAUGAGGUUGCGGGUUCAGUCCCUGCCCUUGCUCAGUAGGUUAACGAUCCGGCAUAGCCGUGAGCUGUGUAGGUCGCAGACUCGGCUCGGAUCCUGCGUUGCUGUGGCUCUGGCUUAGGCCAGUGGCUACAGCUCUGAUUAGACCCCUAGCCUGGGAACCUCCAUAUGCCGCGGGAGCGGCCCAAGAAAUGGCAAAAAGACAAAUAAAUAAAUAAAUAAAUAAAAUAUAUUGCAAAAUAAUACUUAGCAUUUAUUGAAGUAAAAAAGCUAAGUAAAUGGCUCAAUAUUAUAUAGGCAGUUAGUUGUAGACAAGCUUUGAGCCCAGGCAUUCCGACUCUAUUUCUUGUAUUCAAAAACACUGAUUUAUCUUUCAGAGGCCAUAUAGUACCUUUAAAACAAAUCAGAAAAAUAAUUUAAACUAUGUAUGAUAGAAUGAUAAUUAUUCAUCUGAGUCAAUCCAUUGUUACAUCUUAUAUCUGUUAUCUUUUAUUUUCUGGCUAAUUUUAAGAUAAUAUUCUCUUUAGUUUUCUGCAGCUCUAAAUUAUGAUAUACCUAGAUAUGAAUUUCUUUUUUAAAUAUAUAUUUUGAUCAGGAUUGUUUGGACUUCGUGAAACCAUGGGAUGCUGUCUUUAAUUUUUUGUGGAAAAAUUUCCACCGUGUUGACCUUAAGUAAUAUCUCUACCCUAUAUUUUGAGUAGCAAAGUUCUAGGUAAUUUCUUCUGUUAUAUCUUUUUAUACACUAGUUCUUUUUUCAGAAGUAUUUAAUUUGGUGUUAAAUCCACCCAUUGAGUUUCUAAUUUGGAUUAGUUAUUUUGUUUUAGCUCCAGAAUUUCUAUUUAGUUAUUUUUCAAGCCUAUUGUUUUUAUAAUUUCCUGAAGAAAUUUAAAAAGAUUCUUUUAUUUCUUUAAAAAAUAGUACAUAUAGUAAUUUUUUUUAAUAUUUGUUCAGCCAUUCCAAUCUGUUUCUCUUUUUCGAUGCUUUUCAUUUUUGUUUCUUUCUAUAUGUGCUCAAUAAUCUUCGAAUUUGAAAAUUAUUUGUAGAAAAAAAAUUUUGAGGCUUAGAAUAAAGCUCCACUCUAACCAAGAAGAUUGUUGUUUACUUCUGCAAUCCAUCUGGGGCUCCCUACCAGUCUGAGAACAUUUUCCAGUUCAUCCAGAGUGUGAGCAUCUUGGCUGCCGAUACCUAUAAGGGGAAGUUUACUUCUGGUUCAAGUUUUCCCUGACAGUACAGCCAUUCAGAAGCUUAGUCUAUCAGGUGGAUCUCCACUUAGCUGACCCUGUGUUUGAAGUUUUGUCCUCUUAGUCUCAUAAGACCACCAACAUGAAAGCUCAAUUUUUAGCCUUUUGUUUCGAAAUGGGAAAAUGCCCUCAGGAAAAAGGUAACUAUAAGACUUGACCUUACCUUUCUGGCUUCUCAUUUACUCCAGCAUUUUGGCCUGGUAAAAAAAAAGCUCUUUGGUGCUUUUAAGUUUGUCCUGAAUAGAAAAAUUGCUCUAAAUUUCCUAGCCUGCUAUUACUAG
This 3112-nucleotide long non-coding RNA is filed under the name Sus scrofa (pig). RNAcentral's name for it is "lncRNA (ENSSSCG00000052346.1, ENSSSCG00110002791.1)". The record is from RNAcentral. Lineage: Eukaryota; Metazoa; Chordata; Mammalia; Artiodactyla; Suidae.